GCUGCGGCAGCCUUAACACAUGCAAGUCGAGCGGAUGAAGGUAGCUUGCUACCGGAUCAGCGGCGGACGGGUGAGUAAUGCUUAGGAAUCUGCCUAUUAGUGGGGGACAACGUUCCGAAAGGAGCGCUAAUACCGCAUACGUCUACGGGAGAAAGCAGGGGACCUUUGGGCCUUGCGCUAAUAGAUGAGCCUAAGUCGGAUUAGCUAGUUGGUAGGGUAAAGGCCUACCAAGGCGACGAUCUGUAGCGGGUCUGAGAGGAUGAUCCGCCACACUGGGACUGAGACACGGCCCAGACUCCUACGGGAGGCAGCAGUGGGGAAUAUUGGACAAUGGGGGGAACCCUGAUCCAGCCAUGCCGCGUGUGUGAAGAAGGCCUUUUGGUUGUAAAGCACUUUAAGCGAGGAGGAGGCUACCUAGAUUAAUACUUUAGGAUAGUGGACGUUACUCGCAGAAUAAGCACCGGCUAACUCUGUGCCAGCAGCCGCGGUAAUACAGAGGGUGCGAGCGUUAAUCGGAUUUACUGGGCGUAAAGCGUGCGUAGGCGGCCAAUUAAGUCAAAUGUGAAAUCCCCGAGCUUAACUUGGGAAUUGCAUUCGAUACUGGUUGGCUAGAGUAUGGGAGAGGAUGGUAGAAUUCCAGGUGUAGCGGUGAAAUGCGUAGAGAUCUGGAGGAAUACCGAUGGCGAAGGCAGCCAUCUGGCCUAAUACUGACGCUGAGGUACGAAAGCAUGGGGAGCAAACAGGAUUAGAUACCCUGGUAGUCCAUGCCGUAAACGAUGUCUACUAGCCGUUGGGGCCCUUGAGGCUUUAGUGGCGCAGCUAACGCGAUAAGUAGACCGCCUGGGGAGUACGGUCGCAAGACUAAAACUCAAAUGAAUUGACGGGGGCCCGCACAAGCGGUGGAGCAUGUGGUUUAAUUCGAUGCAACGCGAAGAACCUUACCUGGCCUUGACAUACAGAGAACUUUCCAGAGAUGGAUUGGUGCCUUCGGGAACUCUGAUACAGGUGCUG
RNAcentral lists this ribosomal RNA (1011 nucleotides) under Acinetobacter radioresistens. RNAcentral's name for it is "bacterial SSU rRNA". It matches the Rfam family "Bacterial small subunit ribosomal RNA", at positions 35 to 1043 of the family's 1533-position model. Lineage: Bacteria; Pseudomonadati; Pseudomonadota; Gammaproteobacteria; Moraxellales; Moraxellaceae. The record is from RNAcentral.